UCCGCUUCUGCGUCAUCAAUCAUGUUGCUAUACUACUAUUGUAUUUUGUUUGUUUUCCUCUAAAAAGUACUCCCUCUAUUUCGAAUUAUAAGAUGUUUUACUGUAACCCUUUAAAAAAAAUGUUGUACUGUAACCCCAAAAGAUGUUUUAUUAUUGUAUAAAAAUUUAAUGAGAUGUAUAUAGACACGUUUUAGUGCGUGUAUAUGUCUCGGCUAUGAAUUUGGUCGGAAUCGUGUGAGGUGGACGGAGAUGUGUAUACCGGACGGAUGAUGCGUCGAGCGGGGGUCAAUUGCUGCCAGGAAGCAAACACGACGCCUCACGUCAUCGCUUGCUGGUUGGUGCUCCUGCUGCUCGGCACGUAGGCCACCCGACCAAAAGCACUCCAGGUUUUAACAAGUGGCACACAGGAACGGAGCAACAUAUUCAUACAAGAAGACUUUUUCAGAUGGGCCAAGAGCAGGAGCACAUAGAAUUGUUGCGAAACACAAGCCGGCUUUACACGGUAGUGGAGUAGUUGCCACGCACGUUAUGUUACAAAGCAUACAUACAUGCCACCUGACGAUGAGGCCGUCGCACCGCCGAGCGCUUCAACUUUGCAAUUUACAGGAGCACUCCUCACCUGCUGGUAGACUUCACAAUCGCCAGAUACAGAUCUGAUGGACGACACCAAGGAAAACUGCAGUUUCAUCACACCAGAAAGCAAAGCAAGGGCCUGCCAAAAGUCAAACGGUAAUCNNNNNNNNNNNNNNNNNNNNNNNNNNNNNNNNNNNNNNNNNNNNNNNNNNNNNNNNNNNNNNNNNNNNNNNNNNNNNNNNNNNNNNNNNNNNNNNNNNNNNNNNNNNNNNNNNNNNNNNNNNNNNNNNNNNNNNNNNNNNNNNNNNNNNNNNNNNNNNNNNNNNNNNNNNNNNNNNNNNNNNNNNNNNNNNNNNNNNNNNNNNNNNNNNNNNNNNNNNNNNNNNNNNNNNNNNNNNNNNNNNNNNNNNNNNNNNNNNNNNNNNNNNNNNNNNNNNNNNNNNNNNNNNNNNNNNNNNNNNNNNNNNNNNNNNNNNNNNNNNNNNNNNNNNNNNNNNNNNNNNNNNNNNNNNNNNNNNNNNNNNNNNNNNNNNNNNNNNNNNNNNNNNNNNNNNNNNNNNNNNNNNNNNNNNNNNNNNNNNNNCAUGAUCGACGGCAACGGCAUGGAGGUGGAAAGGCUAUAAUCCCUGGGGGCUCCACCCGAGCUCCUUGCACUGCUGUUCAUCGGGCUGCAGACUGUUCGGUAUCGCGCCAAACACACAGCGGGCAGCUUCAAACCCGGAGAUGGUGUUGUGAAAAAAUGCAGAUGCCUCUUCCAUGUUCUUCUUCAGCUCAUCCGGGUUGAUGUACAUGAAACGCUGUGAAGUGGAAGGAGUUUGCUUGGCGGGCGUGGCUGGUGCGAUUUCGGCAACCCUGACAAACCUCUCUGUCGCUGCCUCCCAGGAAAGCUCGUGCCUCAGUUCCUCUGUCAGUGGGAUUGGUUCUUCUGACAGUGCUUUCAUGGUUAGUCUCACAAACUCUUUCUCCGUGCUGUACAUGUGGCAGUUGGGAAAUCUUUUGAAAAAUUCAUUUGAAGGAUGAUUUGCGCAGAUCACAAUCUUUCCCAUCGCCAAGGCUUCUGCAGUUGUGGUGCAAACUACAUCUGUUGUGCUUGGGUUUAUGAAAACCUUGUAGCUGAAACAAACAAUAGGUAAUAUAAAUCAGCUGGAUUAGGAAUAAAUUGAUGACAUAAUGCACUUGUGGCAAAAUGAAUAGCUCGAACUAGCCCAAGCAGCUACAUAGCUUGUGUGGCCCCUUAGGUGCACAGGAAAAGAUAAAUUAAGGAAUAGGGAAAACGCAGGAUCUCACUCGUGAAAUAUUGAAUCUGCAUGGUCGCGCCCAGGAUAGACUCUAACGUCCAGAUUGAGUUUUUCAGCUGAUGCUUUAACUUCACCCGAAUCUUCUCCACUGCCAUAGAGCUCCAUCUUGAGACCAGACAGUUCCUUUUGGUGCUUCUGAAGCAGGUGGAGCAGCUCUGUGUAGCCUUUACUCCAGACCAUCUUCCCAAUAUAAUAUGCACCCUUGAAGAAUGAUUGCUCUCUUUGAGAUAUUUGCCGAUGCUUCAAUUUGCCAAUUUCAAUAAAUUUUGGGUUUACUCCAUGAACAUUACAGAUUACAGAUCUCGGGACUUCCUGAGUUGCUCCCGAUAAUCUUAUAACCUAGAUAAAACAUCACGGGCAACAAAAGGUCAGAAACUGCACAUAACCAAAAAAAACUAGAUGAAGAAACUAUUGUCUUCAAAAAGAGAAAAUGGAGCCAUGUUUGCAUAUCAAAUCAUGGAUGGAAUGAUGUUCUUGUACCAAUACAGAUAUGAAAAAAUUACCAUUCAUGAAUACGCUACCGCAAUGCAUUAUGCAGAAGCCAUAAUGGUUUACGGUGCAGAUAACAAGUGGGGCAGCCCUAGAUAGACAAUAACUGUCAAAAAAUACGGACCAGCUUUGUAUGAAUGCUAUACAAAUAUGGCAAUUCCAUGUAUGCUAUUGAUGUUAAAUUGGCAACUAUGCAUCCAUGAAAUCGUCUAUAUAGAUAUUCAGCCUAAUGAGACUGGAAAACUUAGGAGGUUUCAUAAAACCAACUGGAUGUUAAUACUUAAUGAAAUGCUUGAAAAAAAACGAGGUGACAGUAAACAUAAUAGAAAAUAAAACUGCUAACCUUAUGGCAGUAGAUGUCGGUGACCCAAGAAUUGAUAUGUUUUAAGAGAAAUGCCUGAAUAUACCCAUUUUUCUCCCUCUUCACGUAUUCCAGAUAGUUGGUGUGAACAACACCUAUAACUUUACGGAAUUUGUUUUUCCACCUCCGUCCAUGAUGGUACCAGGUCAGAUGUUCUGGCUCUUCUAGAACUGCAAUAUCUGCUUUUUCAUCAGAUAUCGUCUCGGUAAUAUCCCCAACAGGUAGAAUGCUUCUUUUCUCCGUCGAGAACUGCAUAUGAACAUAGUUAGACUAGUCUGCCAUGCGAUCAGAAUAUAAAGAAUAUUAUCAGCACCAAAUCAAUUUAUGCUGCCCUUUGGUAGAGCAUAAAGGCAAGUACUAAGUCAUUAGAUAGCUUCCCUCCCCCACUAUUUCUAUGCUCAAUUUACUGCUUUACCAUGUACUCCCUCCGUUCCUAAAUAUUUGUCUUUCUAGAGAUUUCAACAAGUGACCACAUACGGAGCAAAAUGAGUGAAUCUACACUCUAAAAUAUGUCUACAUACAUCCGUAUGUGGUAGUUCAUUUGAAAUGUCUAGAAAGACAAAUAUUUAGGAACGGAGGAAGUACGUAUCAUCAAAGGGGUGAAUACAAGUUAUGUACUCCCUCCGUUUCUAAAUAUAAGCCACUUUAGAGGUUUCAAUCAAUACAUACUACAUACGGAUGUAUAUAGAUGUAUUUUAGAGUGUAGAUUCACUCAUUUUGCUCCGUAUGUAGUCCAUAUUGGAAUCUCUAAAAAGGCUUAUAUUUAGGAACGGAGGGAGUAUUAUUCAGUACUUCUCAGUUUCUGCUCGUCCUGCGCUCAACUAACACAAGUAUUAUUAAUUUGCGGGCUAGUUACAGUAUUGCAGGUACUGUAUACAUAAACGUUUCAAAAAUUAAUCACCUUCUACUACCUACUCAGUUGAAAUUUCCAACGCCUCAGUAUCCAACAAGGACACAGGAGAUACCAUUCUACAACAUUUUAGUUCCACAAGUAAUGUAAGUUCAUACAGAUGCCUGUAGUGUACAGUUGCAUAGAUAGGGCCAAACACCAAUAGGUGAUGUAUUUUCACGUGUUGCAAAAAAUUGGGAGGCUUCAUUUGAGCUUUCUAUCAAGUACUAAACCACAAAACAUGCACAUAUAUUCAAGGGAUAUUUACAACAUGAUGACAAGAGAUAACAAUAUAUUUUGGCAAUUCGUUCAAGUUUACCUUCCCAGGAUAGAAAUUUAUGUUGAAUCUCGGCAACUGCCCAGUCCGCUCCUCAAGCCACCGCCGCACAUAGCCUUCUUGCUCCGCCGGCCCACUGAAUUUCAUGUUGUUAGGGUAAACCAGCAUCUGAUCCCCCUUGGACAGCCACGGCACCACCAGCGUGACCUCCCAGUCCCCGGCCUUGGCGAGGUAAGCCGCCCGGAACAGGGGGUUGACAGCAGUGCCGGUCAUCCACGGCAGGCUCGCCGUGGUGAAUAUGGUGACGUGCUGCCUCCUCGCCAUCGCCAUAGCCUCGCAGAACCACCCCACCGCACACGGCCACUGCAAUUUCCAAGGAACACGGCGAGUGGCCCUUAAAUGAUGGAGUAACAUCGACGAACAGCGCAUGACAGUAACAGCAGAAUCCAGUUCCCCCAUUAUCCUCCCACCCACUCCAUUUCCCCGUUGCAUUUGGGGAUUGAUUCACUCGUUGUGGACCAAAAGUCAGAGGCUCGGGGGCAUCCAAUUCGACGCCCACAGAUGCAAUGUGACUCACGCGUCGAGGCUCGAGACCCCACCCAGGAACUCGAGGGGGGAGAUCCGACGAUGAACACAACCAGACUGCAUCGUUCGAUCUGAGCUCUAUGCCUCUAAUCGAGCAAGCUGCGAGCCCUAACUGCGAUUACGAGACGAGGCGCGAACGGAGGGGAAUUGGGGUGGAGGAGGAGGAGGAAGGAUUACCUGUGCGAUGGGUGGCGCCGCGGCGAGGGCGAGCGGUUGCUGGGGCGAGGGCGGGGGCGGGGAAGAAGAUGACAGCCGGGGGUGCAGAUGGGGUUGGGGACUGUGGGGGUAUCAACACCGCUGUUCCUGUCGACUCGUCGGCAACGGAACCGGGACCCACCAGAAUCUCGGCCUGUGGGUCCGGAUUCUCAGUGCAACCGGCUUGAGCAACGGAUAGAAACAGGCCCGAAAAGUCGGCCCAAAAGAUGGUGGCUCUAAUCUUGUCUGCUUUUUUCCUAACGAAAAAACCUUGUUCAUUGAAAUUCUUUCUUUUUUCGAGGACAUUGACACUCUUUGAUCAUCCUGCAGCUGAUAUAAUUAAGCAGACCACUAUUAUCCAAAGCGAAGACAAAGGCAUCCUAUGCUGGGAUCAAUGGGUGAGCCAGAAACUUUUGUGAAGUAUCGGCAAGUUUAAGGCUUUAAACCUAAAUAUCUAAGCUAGAAAUCAAAAUCAGGUGCUCGGAUAGACAACAUAUAAAAUUAGCAGCAAACUUUUGAACCAAAAAUCCACAGUAAUGAUGUAGUGGAAAUGUCACCGUAGUAGUCAUAUAAAUGUAAUUUUAGAGUGAACUAAUAUAUAAUAUAUCAAUAUUUAGUUACAUUGACCAAAAUAAAAUUUAGACUUGACAACGUAAGUCAUAGAACCAUGCCUAAAAAAUUGGAUUUGAAUAUGAGGAUACUGCCAAUUUGAAUAUGAGCUUAGGCAAGUGCCCAGGGUCAUCGGGUGCUGUCUUCGGCCCUGUCUAGGAACCCACUCUCAAUUGUAACUGCAAUUUAAAAUUUGUAUAUAAACGUUGUUUUCAAGUGUUGUAAGAAUAAUCAGAGGCUCAGCCAAUGCAACUUAAUUUUAUUAUGUUUCAUGUACUUUAUACUAUUGAUGAACUUUUAUAACAAAUCUGAAUAUUUUUCACUAAAAAUGCCUUGCUUAACCAGGUCUAGAAGAACAAAUACGUGCCCCCUAGAUUGCCAACGUUUUGCAUGGUGAAUCCUCAUGAGGGUCAUCCCUACAGUUAAUUAAAAGAGCAAGUAGAUUCAUCACUCACGUUAGCAAUCUAUUAUUCCAAGUGUAAUGCAGAUGGGUAGGAUCUACACUUAUUCUCUUUAUGCACUUUUUCUAGACUUGCAUGGUUCUCUAUACCACUGCUUAUCACAUUUGAAAUUCUAGCUUAAAAUAAAACAUUUGUUGUUGAUGUCGUACAGAUUAUGCUUUCUAUGAGCCACCCUAAAGCUACUCUUGAAAAUUUUAUAUUUUUGAUGCGAUGUAUGCGGAAACCCAUAGAUAAUAACCUUUUUGGCACAGAAACUAGGUUCUCCUGUAUAGGUUCUUCACAAGAAUAAGUCAUUGCCUCAAGCCAGGACCUCCAAGAUGGCACCGGGAUCGAUAUUGAACAAUUUUCAAGUUCAAGCUCCUCCUUAGAUUCUAGCACAUGGCAUAACCAUCAGAUUUUUUUUAUACUACUGAUGUUAAUUCAUGCAACCUUGUCUCAACCUUACUCAUGAUAUCACUUAUUAGAAUAACUAGAUGAUUCCCCGCGCGUUGCUGCGGGAAAUAUUGCUUAAAAUUGUUGUUUUACUUAGCAAGCUAACUCUCCUAAUAGGAUGAACAAAAUAGUGAACAAAUUAUCCUGCUUUGGCAACAACACUUUAGAAUAAUAUACGUCAUUGUAAUGGUACAUAAAUAGGGUCAAUCCUCCUAGUUAUAUCAUUCAACUUUGGCAACAACACUUUAGAAUAAUACUCUCUCUGUAAAGAAAUAUAAGAUCGUUUAGAUUACAUCAUUGUAAUGGCACAUAAGUAAGGCCGAUACUCCUAGUUAUAUCAUUCAACUUCUGGAUGGUAGACGAACAACCAGAUUAGAUUUAAUAUUACCCACGAAACUAACAAAUUAUUACAAAGUAAUUUCAUGAGACGUUCAUAUUCAGCAAUACGGGAUAGUAAGAUCUUUGCAAAUGUGAUCCUUCAGAGGGAAGAACAGAAGUUCCAUCUAGUGGAUGAUAGCACCGCCUUCCUCAAUGGUUAAGUAACUUGCAGAUAAAAUCUAGGAUUUUGCAGAAACACAAAGAAACAAAUGUAUCAGGGAACAUUAGGACACAUGUAGCACUUUUGCAUACCUAAAUUUGUUCUUUUCGGGAUCUAUGGUGUACCUAGAUACCAGUUACAACAAUAUAUUUGUGAAAUUUGAGUAAAACUAUGAAACCAGGGAUCGCUUUCAGUGUGAUUAAGAAAAUAAAUUGAACAAAAAUAGCAAGGGGAUGCUCAACAAAGUAAACUCCUUGUCAUAAGAGACGAUAAUGAUUAUAUUUUUUGUGCCUAAAGAGUUGUUUAUGAUUUUUAGAACAAUGUUCUAUGUUUCAGUGAUUGGCUAUCGACCAUACAAAUGAUAAAACUGUAAAAUAAUCUUUUUAUGAAUCCAUAGUACAUGCUAUUUAGCAUAAAUCUACAUGGAACACAAACACAUGGAAGUACAAAGGAACGGUUGUGAAAUUUAAGCAAUGAAAGGAUGCACGCCAUCAUUAUUUGCAGUAAGACAUGUGAAAAACUCCCAAAAAGAAUAAAUUCUCAUAUACCUUCACAUUGUUGAGUGUGAGGGAAGUAAUCUGCAAUAAGAAAAGUAAAUUAGAAAAAAAAUCAGAGUUAGACUUCACUAACUAAGCACUUGAAAAUUGCAUGAGUUAUUAUAUCUAUGCCUUAAUCAAAGUAAAUAAGUUGAAAAUCAAAGUAAAUAAGUUGGCAUCUCAAAGAAUAAAAGGUAAAUAAAUUUACUAACUAACCAUAUAUAAUCUCCUUUUUAGCAUCUUCUUCAUGACCUAUAAGCUGCACAUCAUACUGAAUCAAACAAUGACGGCUUGAUGUGUAAACAUACUAAUUGGCCCUCGUGUUUUUGCCAUAACAAUAGAAAAAAUCCACUAUGCAGCAUUAAAAAUUUGUAUGAGGGUGAAUCAGAUAAUCUAAGAAAAUGGGAUAUGUACCGUCAUUUUUUUAUGAUUAGGGCACUCAAACGUAAGCCCUAUCACUGAAACUGAGUUGUGUGAGUUUUGCACCUAUUGAUGCGUACAAUUUACCAGUAUUGAAUAUGCCAUGGUAGAAGAGAAGUAAUCUGAACCACCAACAUAUGAAAAUAAAUUCUAACUACAUGUUUACAUUAUGGCACCUAUAUAUUGUAUCAACACCAGUUUACCAUCCAUAUCCGUUUUCCCAAGUAUCGUAUGAGUAUGAAAUGGAAAUAGCUUUCGUUCUUUGCUCAAGGGUUUGACAAACAGGUCCUUGUUCUCUGGCAGCAGAAAAUAAAAAUUCAGAAUGCCUCAGGUUGGAACUCACAAGAAGCAAUGUGGCAUAGCAUGCGAUAAACAAAUAAAAUAAAAUUUGAGCCUCGAGGAUACAGGUGGGCUUCUCACUGUUCGGAAUCUAAUGUCCGUCAACAACAGCCAGAGUUAUGAUAUCCGCAGAUCUGCAAGAACGAACCUACAGUAGAAUUUAACCAAUAUAUCAUGAUGUAUUCCAAGCAAAUAAUUAGAGAAGUAAAAACAAUUCCCUUGCAUAACCAAACAUUAUUACUACUUCCACGCAAUAGCCAAGCAACCAGGCAAGGAGAAACAAUUCGGUUGCGUAACGAACCGGAAUUACCACAUCGAAGCAAUGGCAAGGAGAAUAACUUACAAACUGGAAGCAAUAGUGUGAAGAAGGCCGCAUCAUGCUUCUCUCUCGCGCGCGCGUCGACACAGCCGUCGCCACAACUUGACCCUGGAGAAGCCGUCUUUUGACCUUGAGAUGAACGCAUCAAGCUCCCCUCUCAUCUCCUGUCGACACAAUCACCGCCAUGAUCCCUUGCCUUCUCUCUCCCACACAGCCUCCACAUGCCCAAUUCCUCUCGUGUCUCCCUCUCGAAUCGCCUGAGUAGUAGCAAGCGCAAGGAGCCGAGCGGUGGACGGCGGAAGGGAUAAGAAGCGGAGGCCGAUUUGGCCAGGACUCGCGACCGUGGGAGGAGUCUCGCACUGGUGGCAGGCGAACCAAGAAGACGGAGCGGGGAGGCUGGACUGGAUGGGAAUUAAAGGAGGAAGGGAAAGUGGAAGGGGAACGGCUCAGGACGAAGGCAUUGAUGGUCUGCUUUUGGGAGUGAGGAGCCGGAAGAUGGAAUCAAUGCAGCGCGAUGUAGCGCGGGGGUUGAACGCAUGAGGCUGGUCAUAGUGGGGAGUAACAUAUACUAGAGCAUGCUUGAUAUGUUUUAGUCCCGUGACUAAAAGUAGUGGGACUAAAACUUGCUAGUCUCACCCAUGCUUGGAUCCAAAUACUAAAGAGACUAAAAUCUAGUUAUUGAGCAUUUAUUAUCCUCCAGACCCUCCAAUCCAGAACUAAGGAGAGGAAUUAAAUGAGGAGAGAGAGAGUUAAUACAUAUUUUAGUAGGUUUCCCAAGACUAAAAGAUUUUAGCCUCAAGACUAGUCCUAGCCUCUCUUUAGUCAGGGGUGCUUGGAACUUUAGCCUCUAAAAGAGACUAUUUUUAGUCAGACUAAAAAUAGUCAGACUAUUUUUAGUCAGACUAAAAAUAGUUACCGGAACAUCACACACUCCAAGAAACAAUGAGUCUAUAACCUAAUAAAUACAUUGUUGCAUGACACUAUAUAGAUGUUCCUACUCACUGUAGAGGUAGUAACAUAGUCUAGGGAAGUAUGUAAGUUACUAGACUAUGUUCUUGCCCACUGUGACCUUCAGCAGCCCUAUUUUUAGUCUGACUAAAAAUAGUCUCUUUUAGAGGCUAAAGUUCCAAGCACCCCUGACUAAAGAGAGGCUAGGACUAGUCUUGAGGCUAAAAUCUUUUAGUCAUGAGAAACCUACUAAAAUAUGUAUUAGCUCUCUCUCUCUCCUCAUUUAAUUCCUCUCCUUAGUUCUGGAUUGGAGGGUUUGAAGGAUAAUAAAUGCUCAAUAACUAGAUUUUAGUCUCUUUAGUACUUGGAUCCAAGCAUGGGUGAGACUAGCAAGUUUUAGUCCCACUACUUUUAGUCAUGGGACUAAAACGUAUCCAAGCAUGCUCCUACUAAAAUAUGUAUUAGCCCUCUCUCUCCUCAUUUAAUUCAUCUCCUUUAGCACAUGCGAGUUCUGGAUUGGAUGGUUUGGAGGAUAAUAAAUGCUCAAUAACUUCAUUUUAGUCUCUUUAGUAUUUGGAUCCAAGCAUGGGUGAGGCUAGCAAGUUUUAGUCCCACUACUUUUAGUCAUGGGACUAAAACGUAUCCAAUCACUACUUUAGCUAGUUACCACAAGCACCUCUCUCUUCAUUAAAUAUGUGACACAUAAGCAAAGUUGUAUUGAAGUGUGUGAUGUUACUCCUAAGUUCCUCUCCAUUGUGACCAGCCGAAUGCAGAUUGUGCAACUUCUGAGUCAUGGAAGAACACAUUAGAAAAACAUCACACAGAAAUGGUAAAACUGAUGCUUUAUUCGCAUUCAUCUGACACCUAUCUACAAAUUGAAGCCCGGGGCUUAAAUUUAACCGAGACACAUUUUGUCUUCCAAAAAGAAAGAAAGAAAAAACUUGCGACACGUCUAAACAUACAUAGAGCCUGAUAGACACUUGGCAGUUGGAUUACACUUGCAGCUCGGUGACCAAUAAAACAACAAACGCAUGAAGAAAUAUAUAACCCUUUUUCACCAUGUGGCGCGGGCGCGGGAAUGGUGGCUUUGCUCGGCCCGAUGGCCACACUCACAUGACGAUCUCGGGCUUGAGGAUGCUGGACUUGAUCUCCUUGUGCGGGAGCACGACGCCGCCGUUGCUAUACACCUCGUCGCAGACGUGCACGUCCUCGCCGAGGAUGGUCAUGUUCUCCACGCGCGCCCACUUGCCCACCGUCGAGUGCCACCCCACGAUGCUGCCGGAGAUGCACGCGUGCUUCUUCACGCGGGCGCCCCGCAUCACGGUGCACCUCGACAGCCGCACCCCGGCCUCCACCACGCACCCGGGCCCGACGGCCACGUCCGGCCCGAUCAGGCACCCCUCCCCGAUCGUCGCCGUCUCGUGCACCAGCACGUUGCCCAGCACGUGCGCGCCCGCCGCCAGCCUCGCCGGCGCCCGCUUCCUCAGGGACUCCAGGUAGAGGCGCAGCCCCGUGAUGUAGUCCCUCGGCUGCCCGAUGUCCAUCCAGAACCCCGGCAGCACCAUGGCGUACAGGCCCUUGUCGGCGGCGAUGCGCGGGAACACCUCCUUCUCGAUGGACGUCGGCUUCAGCUCGAUGCGGUCCAGCACGGACGGGCUCAGCAGGUAGAUGCCGGCGUUGAUCUUGUUGCCCACGAACACCUUGGGCUUCUCCACGAACCGCUCCACCUUCCCGGUCUCCUCCUCCGUCACCACCACGCCGUACUUGGAAGGCUCGUCCACCUUUUUUCAUAUUAAAAUCAAAGUAGCCACAUCCAUUUCUCAGCAUAUAUAUGGACGGAAACCCAACCUUCAAGGUAAAUUUUACUCGUCACUAGGCCUUGGUCACCACGUACCUUGGUGACCAUGAUCGUGGCCUCGCCGCCAUGGGACUUGUGGAACUCGAUGAGCUCUGCGAACGGGUACUCGCUGAUCACGUCGCUGUUGAGGACGAAGAAAGGCUCGCCGGAUCCGUCGUCGAGCUUGUCGCGGGCAAGGGCCAGCGGUCCGGCGGUUCCCAUUGGCUCUGUCUCCUGGGAGCAGGUGAUCUUGAUGCCAAGCUUGCUCUCGAAGUCCUUGAGAAAGUUGAGCAUGACCUGCAAUUUGUUUGACCAAAGCAAGACAGUGAGAUCUGGGAUUCUGACGAAACAACAGUUUUCCAAGGCGUGGCAUGCCAUGCUCAAUUACCUCUGGCUGGUAAUUGAUGGCCAGGACAACUUCUGUGACUCCCACAUCUUUCAGAGCCUCGAUCUGGUGACAAAAGCAUUACAAAAAAAUUAAUCACAAGAUACUCUGAACAAUUAAAGUCCCAGCCAAGAAAAGGAUGCUUGAAACGGACGUAAAUUUGCUCAGGACAGGGAAAUGGUCAAUUAUUGGUUACCCCUUUUAAAUUCAUAUAUAUAUUUUGUUUCUAUCAUCACAAUUAUUUGAGACACACAUGGUGAUGCAUACAGGUCCAUGACUGUUGCUGUGCGGAAUCUAUUCACAUGGACCACCUAGCAAAUCAUGGACUGAUGAGGCCUUGCAUAAAC
RNAcentral lists this long non-coding RNA (11838 nucleotides) under Triticum aestivum (bread wheat). RNAcentral's name for it is "long non-coding RNA (TAES_LNC001227)". Lineage: Eukaryota; Viridiplantae; Streptophyta; Magnoliopsida; Poales; Poaceae. The record is from RNAcentral.